This is a long non-coding RNA of Ictalurus punctatus (channel catfish), 2506 nucleotides long. NCBI's taxonomy places the organism in Eukaryota, Metazoa, Chordata, Actinopteri, Siluriformes, Ictaluridae. The record is from Ensembl.
AGGUAAAGACGUAUUUAUUUAAGGGAACAUAACAUUAACAACGUAUCUAACUCCACUAUAUCUACUAUAAUACUCCGUGAGGUGUACAGGGACGCGAGCGGUGUAUAUCCCCAAUAGAAUGAUUUUUUGCACUCUUGUCAAUGCAAUUUUUAGUUGUAGGCUUCAGAGUGUUCCAUUCUUUCAGCGGUCAGUUACAGGCCUAACAGUCUAUUCAAGGGGGGCUCGAAGAUGACCACAUACAAAAUAUUGUUAUUUUCCUCAUUUAUUUAUUUAAAGUUAUAUCGUGCCUUGCUGGUAGCCUGUGCCUGCUGGAAUGAAGAAAAAAAAUGUUCAGUGUGAAAUGAAUAUUUUGAAAUUGUAGUUUUUGUAAUUGAUUUUUUUUCUUUGAAAAGCGUUCGGCCUUCGGCGAAGUUUUUCAUUAUAUUCGGUUUCGGCUCCGGCCAAGAAUUUUCAUUUCGGUGCAUCCCUAGUUUUCUUGAAGGACGGCAGGUAAAUGAGUCUUUCUAGGUUAUAAGAUAAGGUGAAAUGAUGUACGGCUGCACAUCUGCAGGUGUAUAUAGUGUACUGAAAGAAAUGUUCCGGGAAUCGGUCAUUCAGGGUCAUGGAUUAUCCGGAGCCUAUCCUGGGAAAAUUGUCCGCAAGGCAAGAGAAUCCCCGCCAAAUGUGAUGCCAGUCCACUGCAAGGCCCCAUGGACACGCUCAUUCAUAACUAGGUGCAAUAUAGCAUAGCCAGUCCACCUACCAGCAUGUAUUUUGGACAUUGGGAGGAAACUGAAGAACCUAAAAGAAACCUAUACGAACAUGGGACGGUGUAAAACAGGCCUGUUGCACAGCAAUCGUUUCCCCGCCACUUCUGCUUUCUUUGCUUGCUCUUAUGAAGGUUGCUUGCCGCUUUUCCUCGGUCUGUGUUGUAUGCGUACAUAUGAGUACAGAACUGCUUCAACUCUGGGAUGCUGAUGGGUUUCCUCACAUGCACUGCUUGCUUCAGGUCCUUCUACAACAUUUCUAUCGAAUUAAGGUCAGGACUUUGACUUGGCCGUUCCAAAACAUUCACUUUAUUCUUCUUUAACCAUUUUUGGGCGGAACGACUUGUGUGCUUAGGGUCAAUCAGUAUGUUUACAUGGGCAGCAGUAAUCUAAUUAUUGACCUUAUUCUGAGUAAGACAAUGACUACGUUUACAUGGACAGAAUUAAUCUAAUUAUUGACCUUACUCUAGUAAGAUAAUAAUGUGAUUAAGGUGUUUACAUGAGUGGCUUUUAGAAUACUCCUGUCAUGUUCCCGUUUGACAUGUUUUAGAACGUAAUUAGAUUAACAGCCCGCGUCAUUACGUCACCGCGCAACGCCGUCCGACGUUCCUCCAGAAUUUCACGCAUCGACAUACAGUUCAUCUUCGUUAUGGUACCGUAUACAGUUUUGGUGUUUUAUUAAAAAAUUUUUACGAACGCUUUAAGUGCAGUUAAUUAUUCGUCAUGCUAUACGUGCUAAUAGACGACUGCUUGAAGACGUAGGUGUGUCCCAAAUCGCGUAGUUACAGUCUAUACAGUAACCGAGAUACAUGUAUUUGUUCCCCACUACAGGCGUAUAGUAGGUAAGUAUGCGAUUUGGGACGCGGCCGAACGCUCUCGUUCGCCGUGCAGAUAGACGACCGCUUGAAGCCGCGACCUGCGUCCUAAACCGCGUAAUUACCUACCAUGUAGCGGCUGAGAUGCAUGUAUUUUUUCUACUAUACAGCAGGUAAGUACGCGGUUUGGGACGCAGCCGUGUUCUCUCGUUUGCCAUCGAACGGUCGAGCGCUGCCGUGUGUGUACGUGUCCUGUCGCAAAAUGCGGUGAAAACUCCCACACGACGUUAACAGUGUGAUUAAGGUGUGUACGUGUCUGUAAUACACGUCGAUAGUGCGACUAAAGCAGGAGUACUCCACGUGUCUUAAUUCCAUUUGUGUUUACUUCGAGUGUGAGUUUAGUCGGAUUAAGGGCAUCAAUAAUCGCUGUAUACAUGCUAGUUUCUUAAUCAGAUUAUCGUUUUAAUCUGGUUAAUAUCGGAUUAUUUGUCGUCCAUGUAAACGUACCGAAUGAAACGCGCGCACAGGUUAUUGUAUAUUUCUCCGGUGGUCCUUGGGAUCCAACUUCACUGCGUUUGCUUUCAGCUUGCCCUCAGGAGGUCUGUUUUCUCGACGAGUGGGUAUUAAUUAGGUCAGCACUGGUCAAUCUGCAUCAAGGUUCAGCUCUUCAAAGCGCCCUCUUCAGGAUCAAUUGAUCUACCAAAUAAACCCCUACUUUAUCUCAGUCUUUUCCAGUCACUGGCUCUUGUCGGUGUUCUUUUCUUCAUUUCUCCAAAUCCACGGGCUCAGUGCUUAGGGUUCUGAAGAAGUGAUCAAAUCACAGUGUCUUGAAUCACAGAAGAACCAUUUUUAGACCCUUCAGCAAGACCCUCAGUCUCUGUUCCUGGAUUGUAUUCUGUACUUCUCUCUCUCUCUCUCUCUCGCUCCCUCCCUCUCUCUCUCUCU